AUUCUUCGUAAUAAUUUGCACUUUGUAGGCUUUCUUUAUGUCAAGAACCAAGGAAUUUCAGGACUUGAAGCACAGAAGAAUAUGUUUAUAACAUAUAUGUAAGUCCUAAUUAAUUACACAUGGUUUAAUUUAUUUGUUAAAUUGUUAAACCCCUGUUAGACAUUUCUACAAUAUAAUCGCCUGUUUAAUUUUCAAAUAAUCCCAUAUUCAUUUUGAUUGAGAAUGCAUUUGCACUUUUAAGUUUUAACUUGUAAAAACAUGGAUUUAUGAAGCUCUUUAGAUUUCAAGUGAAAUUUCUUUCAUGCUUUUUUUUUCUUUUUUUCUUUUAUGCUUAUUAUUAAACGUGUUAAAAGUGAAAUAAUAAAUAAUAGUGAAGGCAUUAAGAAAAAUAUUUUAAUUCAGUUAAUUUCUAUUUGUUUUUUUCUAUACUCAUAAUGUCAUAUAUAUAUAUAUAUAUAUAUUUGCCUAAAAUUAUAUCAGAUAUCUUGACAAUCAUAAUACAACUAAGACAAUCAUCUUAGACCUUGCAUUAUGAAAAUGAUAAGUUUCUGAUUUAUAAUCCGAACCCCUUCUCCAUGGCAUUUUAAUUUCGUCAGAACGUUGGUCUGGGGUGUGUGUCAUGAAGGGGGCUAAAUAGCAAUUUUCUAAGUUUGUAGCUAUUGGAGUAUAUAUAUAAUAUAAGCCCUUACCAAAUAAAUAUUGAGGCCCAACAAGUGCCAGAAAGAUGUUAAACAUUUAAACUACAUUUCUACAGCCUAUUAAAUCACUCAUUGUGAAUAAAAUAUUGUUAAUUUCUUAAAAAAAUAUUUAAUGUGAUUUUUGAGUAUGUCCCAUUUUGGGGGAUUGUACACAACACAAGCCGGCCCUCGCGCGCCACUAUUUAACCUAUCAUCACUCUUGCAAUUUCAUUAACCCCUUUUCAUAUUUAUCUGGACAGGAAAAUAAUUUAUUUUCAUGGAAGAUUCAUGGUGAAGGAGGACCAAUGCAUUAUAUAAGAGAGGUACUUAUGUGAUUUCAUUUUUACUAUAAUUUUGUUUGUUCAAAAUUUAAUUUAGUAAAUAAAUAGUUCUUAAUCAUAUACUUGGAAUAUUGUGUAUCAGAUAAUUAAUAUUUUAAUUUUCUUUAAACAUAAUUUCCAUAAAUUUCCUUUCUAAUUAAUUUGAGGAUAUAUAUAUAUAUAUAUAUAUAUAUAUGGUUUGCAUACUUCAUAUCUUUGCAGAAUUUCUUCCUUUUAUCUUGUGCUGUGUAUUCCUGAGAGUUUAUUUUUUUGCCUUACAUAUAUAUAGCUAAUUUUAUGUUGAAAAGGCUAGUUAUAUUAACACACAUAAUAUACUUUUCUUAAUUAUGAAAUAUAUCCCUAGAAUUAUAUGUUAAUUAAUUAGUUCGACUAAUUUUUGUUUUUUUUAAGUAGGCUAGUGACUAGAAAUUUCGCUCUUAAGAUGGAUUCGAACUCAGCCCCUAUCCUGUAAAUUGAAUUAAACUAACGGGACUAGUUCCAUUAACUUCUUUUUAUAGAUUAAUUAGUUUUUCUAAUAUUGUAGGAUCCGCUUGAAUUGAAUCAUUUGAUUAUUUACUUGAAUUUAUUUUGUGAAGCUAUUUGCGAGAAAGUAUAAAAACAACUUAAUUAUUUUUAUUAGUUUUUUAAGAUAAUUUAUCAAAACAACUUAUAAUAAAAUAUAUGAUCACAAUUUAAUUUUAUCAAAUUGAAUUGCUAUAAGUUUAUACUUAAGUGUUUAUGAUGAUAAUUAAGUGUUUGUGCUAUAAGCUACAACCAAAGUUAUUACAAUUGGUUUAGCUAGUGCUUGUUAGUACAACUAAAUUUUGACUUGGUUGGAGGUUUGUUUGGGUUGAGUACUAAAUAUAGUUGUCUUACCGCGAUAGAAACUUAACUCACACUUAUGUAGCAUUAUGUUUUGAGUUCAAUAAUGAAAAUACACUGAUUUAGUAAUUGAAGUAUUUGACAAUAGAUACAUAUACAUUCCAAAGGAUAAAGGUACUUUUGGACAAGAAAGGAUAAAGGUACUUGGAACAUACGAAUAAAAGUGGUUGGAUGAGAUUUUCCCCUUCUUUUUAUUGAGUCAAAUAGGCUAAUGGCUAGAAUUCCAAUUUUAAGGUGAAUAAAUAGAUUGUUCGGAGUUCAAAUCUCAAUCCUUGUAUAUAAAAUGCGUUGUCUACCAACUGAAUUAAGCUCACGAGAACAAAUGAGGAUUUCCUCUUAAUAGACAUGUAACAUAUGUUUGCUUGAAAGCAUAAUUAUAAAUGCAUUUAUGAUAUAUUCUAACUAUAUGAGAAUGAUGUGAGGCCGCGAUUCAAGAGUUCAUAGACUUGACACUAAUAUAUGUAUAUAUAUUUAUAUAUAUAUAUAUUGUUCAUUCAAAAUAUAUUUUUAGAAUGUUGCAAUGGUUAGAUUUGAAUUAUAGCAUCAUUAAUUAGUUUGAUACCUUGUAUCACAUGGUUCUUAACGAUCAUUGCAAAAGUUCUUCGAAAGUUGUUUCUCUUCACCAAAAGACAUGGGUUUUUAUGAUAAAUAGACACUUUGGAGGCUGAAAAUAAAAACAAAGAAUUUCAUGAGUGACAUGGGUUAAUAUGCUUGAUAUGAAUGUGCAAUGUAGGUCAAGGCUUCUAAAGUAUCAUGAAAGGGAUUCGUCGAUUUAUCCAUUUGAAUCUUGGUGGAGGGGAAUCGAACUUAAAACUUAGUUUUAUACACAUGCUUUGAAAACUCAUGUGCAACUUUCAUUAUGUUUAUCUUCUUUGUUCAAAUUAUUUGCAGCAAAAAACCAAAACAAGAUUUGUAUGCUAAGGCAUAGAGUACUGUUAUGGAUAUGAUAGAAAACAAUCUGAACUUUAUAUAUCCUUUUUAGGAUUUCUUGUGAAUAUUUCUGCUAAAGAUUGUUAAAUUUUGUUAUCUGAAAGUAACAAAGCUAAUUUAUAAAAUGAAUUUCUAGCUGCAGGAUGAAACACAAAAUUUGAAUGGAGAAACUGUUAAGAGAGAAUCAAAGAGGAAAACAUUACAACUAGAACUUGAAAGAAGCGCAUUGUUCUAUGAAAUGAAUGCCCUAGCCAGUUGAACAAUCUAUGUUAUAAAAAAUAAAAACUAAAAAGUGAUCAAAACAAAAAGAAUAUUACAAAUUAAACAAGAUAAUUAUUAGAAACUACUUGAACUUGUACUUUGAAUAUCUGUCAUACUUAGAAGUUGUUCAAGAUAUUCAACUCCCAAAUCCUCUAACACCAACACACAUGAUGAUGAUGAUGAUCCCUCUGCUGGUUCUUGUAACUUCCCUGCUUUAUUAUUAUUCUUUGUAGCUUUUGAUGACAACUUUCUCUGUUCAUAGUGCCUCUCUUUGAGUGCAAGUGCAGGUGAAGACCCUUUUCUACAUUUAUAUUGAAUCUCUUGCAAAGAUUCUUUGACCCUUUGAACAGAAAAAUUGAUGAGAGCAUUAUUACCUCUCAUUGAAAAUGCAGCUUGAUCAUAAGCUAAAGCAGCAUCUUCAGCACUAUCAAAUGUUCCAAGCCAAACUCUUCUUCCUCCUCUUGUUGUAUCUCUUAUCUCUGCUGCAUAUUUCCCCCAAGGUCUUUUUCUUACACCUAUAUAUGAUGACUUUUCCAUCUUAUGCUUCUGCAAUACUUCUUUAGCUUCAGAUGAUGAUGACUGUUUUGUCUGUGUCUGUGAGCUCGAUGAGAAAUCGACCAUAUCGAAGGAAAGAUAAUCGUAAUAAUCAUAUGAUUCGAAUGAAAUAUCUGAACGAUCUUGCAGCAUUUCCAUAUCUGAGUUGUGGAAAAAAGAGAGACUCAUCUUAUUAGCAAAUAAGUGUUUUUCUGUUGCUUCUUGUGCUGUUUUCUCCUUUUGACUGUAAUUUAUAUUUGCCUCAAAUUAAUGGUCAAACUGUACUCAGGGUGUUAUUCAAUUAUGGUUUCUGGAUUUGGAUUAUUCUAAUGUGGCUAGAAAUAUAAGAACCAUUUAUAUAUUAGUUAAGAGAAUCUAGUACUACUAAUAGAAAACAUAGUUUUUGCCAAAAAAAACAGUUAAGAGGAUCUAGAUCCAAAAAGCUUAUGUUAUUACUAUUAAUUAUUAUAUAUGUAUAUUAUUGAAGGUGUACAGGAGUCUUAUAUUAGCAAAGUUUUCAGGUUGUUAGACACCAUCGUGUUUUGAGCUGUCUUUUGGGAGUGAAGGAUCAACACAUAUACAGACUUCAAUAGCAUAUCAAAUAAUUUUAAAUUUAUGUAAAAGUUUAUAGAUAUGAUCAACAUGAGCAAGCCCUGGUUGGAAAGAUUUGUAACUGUUGCCCAUGAUAUGUGUAUUACACUUAUUGAUAUAAUUCAUAAAUGAG
This 4328-nucleotide long non-coding RNA is filed under the name Trifolium pratense (red clover). RNAcentral's name for it is "long non-coding RNA (TPRA_LNC005803)". Lineage: Eukaryota; Viridiplantae; Streptophyta; Magnoliopsida; Fabales; Fabaceae. The record is from RNAcentral.